This 439-nucleotide ribosomal RNA is filed under the name Adamystis sp. RNAcentral describes it as "bacterial SSU rRNA". It matches the Rfam family "Eukaryotic small subunit ribosomal RNA", at positions 593 to 969 of the family's 1831-position model. Lineage: Eukaryota; Metazoa; Arthropoda; Arachnida; Trombidiformes; Adamystidae. The record is from RNAcentral.
AAUAGCGUAUAUUAAAGUUGUUGCGGUUAAAAAGCUCGUAGUUGGAUCUCAACUCUUGCCAAGCGUUCACUGAAUUGUGAGGGUUCAAGUGAACAUGGCUCGAGUAUAAUGACCAUGUUGGCCGUAGCACCGGCACUUAACUGGGUUGGUGCAUGGGUCCUUGGUCCUAUUACCUUGAAAAAAGUUGAAUGCUCAACUGAUUAGACAUUCUGGCUCCUGUGAAAGGGAGUGCAGAGCCGUCAUAACAGAUAAAAGCAUGGAAUAAAUGAACACGACCUGGUCCACAGUCGUUAAGUUCUGUUGGUCUUUACCUUAUACUGCCUGGACACAGGUACUGAUUAAAAGGGACAGACGGGGGCAUUCGUACUGCAGCGCUAGAGGUGAAAUUCUUAGACCGUUGCAAGACGAACAAAAGCGAAAGCAUUUGCCAAGAAUGUUA